Non-coding RNA from Podarcis lilfordi (Lilford's wall lizard), 76 nucleotides. Lineage: Eukaryota; Metazoa; Chordata; Lepidosauria; Squamata; Lacertidae. The record is from the annotation of a GenBank genome assembly.
GGGAACGAGUGCAGCUCAGGGUUAGAGCAUCCACUUUGCAUUCAGGAGAUCCCAGGUUCAAUCCCUGGUGUCCCCA